CCGGCGGUGAGAGGUGAGUGGCGUCUGAUUAUAUUGUGGCGAGAGUGGAGCUUGAUUGGCAACUUCUCCACCUGCUCCUGCAUCAGCUGAUGAUGAUUGACAAUGAGAGACACCUGCCGCUGCAACUGCACUGCUGACGAACCUAAAAAGGAAAAAAAGGCGGAGAAAAGAGGGAGAGCGCACUAUCUAGGCCUGGCAGCAGCCAGCCUGACAUGUUCAAGACUACUGUAGUGUUAAUUCUGGUUCUUAUUCGUUUAGUACUGUUGUUUUGGGGAUUCCUGCCUUGGUGUUACCAGUCAUGGGUUUUCAUUUAGGUUUCUCUAUUCCAUUUAGGUUUAUUUAGUGUAAAUAUUCUGCUAGCCCACUAGUAUGGAGGACUCAAAGUGCCAAAAUUAAAUAAAUAAAUACAUCAUUAAAUAAUUAAUUAAAUAUGUCAUUAAUUAAUUAAAAUUGGAAUUAAAUAUUUCAUUAAUUAAUUAAAAUUGGAAUUAAAUAUUUCAUUAAUUAAUUAAAAUUGGAAUUAAAUACUUAAAUGUGUUAUUAAAUAAAUAUAUCAUUAAAUAAUUAAAUAUGUCAUUAAUUAAUUAAAAUUGGCAUUAAAUUUGUCAUUAAUUAAUUAAAAUUGGAAUUAAAUACGUUAUUAAAUAUAUCAUUAAUUUAUUAAAAUACCAAUUCAUUUUAAGUAAAAAACAUAUUUCAUUAUUUCACUAUUUAAUUAAUUAUUUCAUGGUCCUUGUGUUGCAGUGGAUCAUGAAUUUAUUUUAUCUGUCAACCUCGCCCGUCAAAGUCGGUGGGCGGAUCCUAACACCUGAUUGGUUACCCUGCACAUCAAGUCAAGGCAAAUCGAUUCCAGAUAAUGGAUUGACACAGAGCUUGUGAACACAUGCCGAUACACUGGGUGGCGCUAUUCACCUCUACGUUGGUUUGGAUACUCAAUAAAACAAAACUUUAUUAGCAACCGCUAAAGACUCGGUCCUCUUUCCCAAAUGUUGAUACAUGCGGUGCAAGACAAAUUUUCCUUUAGCAUCUACUCGGCGCGCCACGGCUCGUCUCGGUUUAGUUGUUUUUCCAUUACAUUGAGUACCACCUCAUCGUGGGUUGAGUCGUCAUAGCACGGUGGCCCGAAAGUCCCUUACCGUCAUUUCUGUGCGACACAAACGCAAUGCAACAAUGUACAUGGAGGCGAUAGUACACCUGCUGCUCGGUCUGUGGCUUUCUGUCAGAUUCAGAGUAAUAGAAGAGUCGGAGAAAGCUGAGAGCGGCGAGUCGAAACACUCAGGAGACACACAGGAGAGUUUGGGAGGCGAUGCAGCAGUAUCAAGCCGAAGACAAGAGGAUAUGAACGAGACGACAUAUGAGGAUGCUCUCUGAUGAGACUUCAUGGGAUUUACCUGAAGCAGCAGCACAUGAGCCUGCAGUGGCACAAGGUGUAGAGGAGGAGGGCAGAGAUGUACAGGAUGCACUGAUGCACUACGUGUCAUGCAAAGUUAUUCUUCUUGUUAUACUUCUGUUUUUCUGUCCCCGGACACUAUUGUUUUCUUGAAUGCAAUUCUGACAAUAAACUUUUGUAGAUGUG
This is a long non-coding RNA of Amphiprion ocellaris (clown anemonefish), 1576 nucleotides long. RefSeq lists it as uncharacterized. Lineage: Eukaryota; Metazoa; Chordata; Actinopteri; Pomacentridae. The record is from RefSeq and is a predicted model, not a curated record. The transcript has 2 exons.